RNAcentral lists this ribosomal RNA (494 nucleotides) under uncultured bacterium. RNAcentral describes it as "partial 16S ribosomal RNA". It matches the Rfam family "Bacterial small subunit ribosomal RNA", at positions 28 to 507 of the family's 1533-position model. The record is from RNAcentral.
GACGAACGCUGGCGGCGCGCUUAACACAUGCAAGUCGAACGGAAAGGCCUGCUUUCCCUUGUGGAUUGCGGGUACUCGAGUGGCGAACGGGUGAGUAACACGUGAGUGAUCUGCCCCCAACUUGGGUAUAAGCCUGGGAAACUGGGUCUAAUUCCCGAUAGGACUGCAGGGUGGUGCCUGUGGUGGAAAACGAUUUUCUAGUGGUUGGGGAUGAGCUCGCGGCCUAUCAGCUUGUUGGUGGGGUAAUGGCCUACCAAGGCGGCGACGGGUAGCCGGCCUGAGAGGGUGGACGGCCACAUUGGGACUGAGAUACGGCCCAGACUCCUACGGGAGGCAGCAGUGGGGAAUAUUGCACAAGGGGCGGAAGCCUGAUGCAGCGACGCCGCGUGGGGGAUGACGGCCUUCGGGUUGUAAACUCCUUUCGACCGCGAGGAAGCCACCUGGUUGGAGGGGUGGUGACGGUAGUGGUAGAAGAAGCACCGGCUAACUACGUG